Molecule: ribosomal RNA, 52 nt
Filed under: Apiospora sacchari
Lineage: Eukaryota; Fungi; Ascomycota; Sordariomycetes; Amphisphaeriales; Apiosporaceae
Description: Arthrinium sacchari partial 18S ribosomal RNA
Source: RNAcentral
CCAAACUCGGUCAUUUAGAGGAAGUAAAAGUCGUACCAAGGUCUCCGUUGGU